GCGUAGCUCAGUUGGCUAGAGCGCUGGUCUCCAAAACCAGAGGUCGGGGGUUCGACUCCUCCCGCU
RNAcentral lists this transfer RNA (66 nucleotides) under marine eukaryotic metagenome. It matches the Rfam family "tRNA", at positions 5 to 66 of the family's 71-position model. Rfam says of the family: Transfer RNA (tRNA) molecules are approximately 80 nucleotides in length. Their secondary structure includes four short double-helical elements and three loops (D, anti-codon, and T loops). The record is from RNAcentral.